Molecule: ribosomal RNA, 479 nt
Filed under: Bacillus anthracis (anthrax bacterium)
Lineage: Bacteria; Bacillati; Bacillota; Bacilli; Caryophanales; Bacillaceae
Description: bacterial SSU rRNA
Rfam family: Bacterial small subunit ribosomal RNA
Source: RNAcentral
CAUGCAAGUCGAGCGAAUGGAUUGAGAGCUUGCUCUCAUGAAGUUAGCGGCGGACGGGUGAGUAACACGUGGGUAACCUGCCCAUAAGACUGGGAUAACUCCGGGAAACCGGGGCUAAUACCGGAUAACAUUUUGAACUGCAUGGUUCGAAAUUGAAAGGCGGCUUCGGCUGUCACUUAUGGAUGGACCCGCGUCGCAUUAGCUAGUUGGUGAGGUAACGGCUCACCAAGGCAACGAUGCGUAGCCGACCUGAGAGGGUGAUCGGCCACACUGGGACUGAGACACGGCCCAGACUCCUACGGGAGGCAGCAGUAGGGAAUCUUCCGCAAUGGACGAAAGUCUGACGGAGCAACGCCGCGUGAGUGAUGAAGGCUUUCGGGUCGUAAAACUCUGUUGUUAGGGAAGAACAAGUGCUAGUUGAAUAAGCUGGCACCUUGACGGUACCUAACCAGAAAGUCACGGUUAACUACGAGCCAGCA